RNAcentral lists this ribosomal RNA (251 nucleotides) under uncultured prokaryote. RNAcentral describes it as "partial 16S rRNA". It matches the Rfam family "Bacterial small subunit ribosomal RNA", at positions 525 to 775 of the family's 1533-position model. The record is from RNAcentral.
ACGGAGGGUGCAAGCGUUAAUCGGAAUUACUGGGCGUAAAGCGCACGCAGGCGGUUUGUUAAGUCAGAUGUGAAAUCCCCGGGCUCAACCUGGGAACUGCAUCUGAUACUGGCAAGCUUGAGUCUCGUAGAGGGGGGUAGAAUUCCAGGUGGAGCGGUGAAAGGCGUAGAGAUCUGGAGGAAGACCGGUGGCGAGGGCGGCCCCCAGGACGAAGACUGAGGCUCAGGUGCGAGAGUGUGGGGAACAAAAAG